This 254-nucleotide ribosomal RNA is filed under the name uncultured bacterium. RNAcentral's name for it is "partial 16S ribosomal RNA". It matches the Rfam family "Bacterial small subunit ribosomal RNA", at positions 524 to 777 of the family's 1533-position model. The record is from RNAcentral.
UACGAAGGGGGCUAGCGUUGCUCGGAAUCACUGGGCGUAAAGCGCACGUAGGCCGAUUGUUAAGUCAGGGGUGAAAUCCUGGAGCUCAACUCCAGAACUGCCUUUGAUACUGAGAAGCUUGAGUCCGGGAGAGGUGAGUGGAACUGCGAGUGUAGAGGUGAAAUUCGUAGAUAUUCGCAAGAACACCAGUGGCGAAGGCGGCUCACUGGCCCGGUACUGACGCUGAGGUGCGAAAGCGUGGGGAGCAAACAGGG